UACAGGUUUUCAUGAUUUCAUUGUUUAAUGAGAAUUCCCCUUUAAAUCCAGUUGUAUUUGAUAAAGUACGAUGCACAUUGUCAGUGUAAAUAUAAAAACAGGAAUAUAAUUUUUUUAGUAUUUCACACAUAAAUAUAUAGGCUUUAUAAAUGGGAGUAGGCACAUCAGAGUCAUGGGUUUGUACAAGAUUUUCCAUAACCAAUUUCUGUAAAAUGUUAAGGAUCAAAAUGCAGUAAACAAAUUGUAAUGGAUGCUAACUUUCUGGAAACUCUUAAAGAUACAGUAUCACUUUAAGAAGAAAGGCCAUGUGCUCCGAACCAGUAUAUUUCUUUUACAAAAGAAAAUCAAGUUAGCUUGCAGCAUUUUUUUUUUUAACAUUAAUACAUAUCUGGAUUUUUUUUCCCCAUGCUUAAAGAAACACUAUAGGCAUCAAAACAACUUUGGCUUAAUGAAGCAGUUUUGGUGUAUAGAUCAUGCCCCUGAAGUCUCACUGCUCAAUUAUCUGCCAUUUAGGAGUUAAAUCCCUUUUGAUUCUGUUUAUGCAGCCCUGGCCACAACUCAGAUGUUAACUUGCUUCAGUAGUUUUUAUCUCUUGCUCUGUCAAUUUAACUUUCACACAAAAGGAGGCUCCUGCAGGGUCUAGAAGCCUAUUACCAGCUCAGGAGAUAUAAAAUUCUAAAUGAAACAAACUGUGCAAUAAAGGAAGUUUAAAUAUUAGAUAUCUCUUUAUAGGAAGUUUUUAGGAAGGCUGUCCAAGUCAUAUGCAGGGAGGUGUGACUAAGGCUUUAUAAACAAUGUGAUUUAACUCCUAAAUGGCAAAGAAUUCAUUAGUGAGACUGCAGGGCCAUGAUCUAUACACCAAAACCGCUUCACUAAGCUAAGGUUCUCUUUCUGCAUAAAGUGUCUCUUUAAGCAAUGUCAAACUAUCAAACAGUAGAUGAUAACCUUGAGGAAAGAUAGAAUUUUAAUUUCUAAACUUUCUUUUGGGUUUACGGAUACCAGUUAUUUGGCUUAUUUAGAAUUCUGAGUUAGUAAUACAAUCUCUACAUAUUGGAAAACCAACAUGUGCAAUCUGUUCUUAACAUAUAAAAAAAAUAAAUUAAAAACUAUAAAAAAAAAAAAACACACACUAAAAAACAUAAUUUUACGUAAAUCUAAGCACAUGGGUCACUCAUGGUUGGCUGCACACCCAGAGAAAAACCAUCUAGCUUUUAUGUUUUCUAUUACAUGGAGACAAUUGUAAGAUACUGGUUAGGAGUAUAUGGUAUUCACAUCAUUACGAAGGAUCUCAAUUUUAGCUGUCUGGUUUUGCAAAUUUGUAUUUAAGAAAAGAAAUGGUUAGCAAACACAGAAAUAGGCCAUUAGCUGUUUUCUGGAAUUAGUAGACCGGUGCAUUCGGUUCCAAACGAAUUGCGAUUUGUCUGCAUUUUGGGCGAUUAGCGAGCCAUCCAAGCUCUGCAGCAGGUGGACGCAUCACAAAGCAAACUAGACAGAAUAAUGGACAAGCAGUUUUGUGAUUUGGAAUUCCAUGUUUGGCUCCAUAAAAACAAAAACAAAAAAACGACAAUUGAGGGUUAGGCAGCUUAUAAAUGUUGAUUUUAUUCACCGAUCAAGUAAGAAGUGGCCCUAUAGAGGGGGAAAGGAAGAGCAGUAACAAAAUAAAAUUCUAUAAUUUAUAUAUUAUAGAUUUUUAAUGCUCCUCCUCUUUUUACCUCUACUGGUCACUUCUCACUUCUCCGUGUCCUGUUCCAAAUAAUUAUGCAAAUUCUAUUUAAGUGUCUCAAAGAUUAAAUAUUGUGUUUUUCAGUUUAACUCAUGGACGGCAUUGUGUCUCAUGUGGAGUUUCUGACUGACCACUUUCUUCCCUGGUACAGAGGGAAGAACUAUGCUUUCCGUAAUAAAAUCAUCUUCAUACAUGACAAUGCACCAUCUCAUGCUGCAAAGAAUACCUCUGCAUCAAUGGCUGCUAUGGGUAUAAAAGGAGAGAAAGUCAUGGUAUGGCCUCCAUCCUCUCCUGACCUCAAUCCUAUUGAGAACCUUUGGAGCAUCCUCAAGCAAAAGAUCUAUGUUUACAUCCAAACAGCAGCUCUGGGAGGCUAUUCUGACAUCUUGCAAACAAAUUCAAGCAGAAACUGUCCAAAAACUCACAAGUUCAAUGCAUGCACGACUUGUGGAGCUGCUAUCAAAUAAGGGGUCCUAUGUUAAAAUGUAGCGUGACCUGUUAAAAUGUUUAAAAAGUUAAAAUGUUGUUAUAAGUUUGAUUGAAAUAGCUUUUGAUUUCAGUAAAUAUGCUGCAAACACAACAAAUGACAAUUUUCAGUUCUUUACAACCUAUAAAGUGUUUUGAAACUUACUGUGCGUAAUAAUUUGGAACAGUGCAUUGUUCGUUUUUUAUGUUUAAAAAAAAUACUGUCACAUUAGGAGGUUUGUUCAAUAAAAUUUGAAUUGUACUCUUAAUAGUUGAUAACUUGAGAAUUAUGCUGACUGUUAUUUACAUCAAUUAUUUAGGUAAAUGAGAAAAAUAUAAUUUGCAUAAUAAUUUGGAACAGGGUGUAGUUUGAAUCGCUUUUUUCCCGAAACAAUCAUAUGGACGACAUUGGUCCGAACCAAAACCCCAAAUAAACAAAAUUUGGACCACCCAAACGAAAAAUUUUCAAGCUAAUCAGUUUGCUGUACACAAGUUUAGUGGUUAGUUGAUGGUCAGUGAAGUAACAAGAACAGAAUUUAUGUACCUCUAUGCAUCUACAGACUGAACACAUUGGAAAGCAACAUUGACCCAUACAAUUGACAACUCAAUUUUCCACAGUGCCCCGCAAACCUGGAGACUAAUAGUUGCAUCAUGGGAGAUGUAGUCCACGUUGCUUCCCACUGUUCCAGCAAAUAUGAUUCCUGGGACUUGUCCUGCAUUCUGGUGUGUGACCACCCCAGGACCCACAGGAAGGAGGAUGGAAAUAUAUGUGUUUUCCCCCUUAUUUGUGUAUGUCAGUUUGUUAAAGUGUGUGUAUCACUAUAUGGAAGAUUGAGCACGCCCAUCUUCACCUAUUGUUGCCGUAUGUCAUUUGUAUUUUGUUAGAACUAUCUGUCUUGUUUCCCUAAUAAACAGCACUGUGGAAUAUGUUGGCGUUAUAUAAAUAAUUGUAUUUGUAAGUUUGUCAUUUUAUGUCUGUGUCAUUGUAUGUGUCUGUGUGUCACUGUAUGUAUGUCUGUGGGAGUUCUUGCCACAAAGUGUCCCUGGAAUCUUUUUUUUAAAUGUUGGCAACUAUGAUUACUGUCCGCAGCAUCCACGUCAGCAGCUGUUGCCUACACUUGUAGUACAAUAUAAAAGGAUAGCGCUUAAAGGAGAGAUGAUGAGGAACUGCACUAUUCUUACACCUUACAAUUACCUGAGCAAUAUUAGCAUUGUUCUCUCUGUGCAACACUGACUCCCUUCUUUCAUCGAUAAAUAAAUGUGCAGAUAUCCAGCAUUAUACAGAAAGGAUAAACACAGCAAUAGGUCGUGCUCCCAGCAUGUACAAUAGUGUACUCCGAAAAAAAGUCAAAGUCAUGCAUUACAGGCUUAAAUGGUAAAAUAUUAACAUAUCGACAAAGUGUAACAAUGGAGACUUUCAAGUUGCAGUGCCUAUGAUUUACAGUGGCGUAACUAAUAAAAUUAUGCUUUACAAACAGGGUAAAAUUGAAUGCUCAGACUUUUCAGGCACAAAUAUUACAGUUCCAAGUCCUGACCCUAGAGAGACAAUAUGUAACAGAAUUUGGGUACCCAGGUUCUUAAAAAAAACUAGAGAAAUUGUAAACAGGGGUUUUGACUAAAUGGGGAACUGUGGAGAGUUACAAUGGAAUCGACUGUAAAUUUAAGGCCAAAACAGCCACAUUUCAUAAAUCUGUGGCUAUUUUUAGUUAAAGUUUACAGUUAGUUUUCUAGAAGUUCACAAUUCAUAGAGGAGUGUAUUCCUCCCCGUAAGACACUUUCUGAAGAAAUUAAACAGUUAGACAUUGGUCCAAGCAGAUCCGAAAUAGGUUAUAUAAUUAACUGGUUCACUUAUAGUGAAAGUAUUAUUAGCCAUUGAGUUGAUCAAGUGCUUUUACGUGGUCCAUAGGACCCCUAGAAAAGAUUAAGGUUCUAGAUAGGGGCCCUCCUUCUGAACCAAUUGUGCAUGGAUUCUAAGAACCCCAAUGUAACCAAGGCAGAAUUUAAACGAUAGACCUUCCAUCAUCCUGUGUUCAAUAGUGUGACGGGUUGACAAUCAGUGCUGUGCAAUGCCCAGCUUCUAUGCUCCACUCUACUGCCCAAAAACCCCAACAAAAAAAUAAAUCCCUAUUUAGUAGAUAUUCCUCCAAUGAAAACAUGACUAUUUUUUAGCAUGCGUUUUGUCAUUGGGGACAUAUCUAAAAACAACUUGCAAAAACGGCAGAUCUCUUGUCUGAUGCCUUUGCAAACCCUCCCCUUCAAAUCCCGCCCAGACUGUCUGUGGCUGUCCAAUCACAAACUUUGCAAUGCAGCUCAAUGAGAAGUAUUUGGAAGGCAGGUGCUCUGGGGAAUUGCUACCUGUUGAGUUUAGCUCCACUGAGCUAAACAACCAGAAAGUAACAGGAUUGGUUGACAGUCAGUAGGUGUAACAAUUCAAAUUUAUAAAAGUGGGGGGAAAAAACAAAACACUUUAGCAAGUUGCACAUUGCCGCUUUAAGUGUUGGAUCACAGUGGUAAAUAUAUAAAAAAUAAAAUUCAGGUAUUAGAAGAGAUUGUUUAGCUUUUUGCAGAGGGGGUUUCCAUAAAGCAUAAUGAUUGGACCCAAAUGUUGAAGUUUUUUAAACAAGGUUUCAACACCCUAGAUCUGCUAUGUCCGCAGUUUAUAUUAAUAGGAUAGUGUAGGUUACAGGAAGACCUGCUCUAGAGACUAGGCUUGAAAUCUUUCCUGUGUUUAGCUGGUUCAGUAAGAUUGGCCAUGGUGGUGGUCUUGGAGGUUGAAAAUGAAGAUUGAACAAUGUGGGCGGAACAUGUUGUUCAUGUAAAGAUGGCAGUUUUAGGUUAAAUAUGUAAGUAUGCACGAGGAAGAGGGUGUAUGAGGUAGAGUGGGUGUAUGUAGUAUACAUAUAUACACAUGUUUGAGGUAGAAUGCGUGCAUGUAUGUGUGUGUAUUGAGAAAUCAAACUCUCCAAACAUCUUCUAGAUGAACCUCGCCCUGACAAAAUGUAAAAAUACAUCCCAAUUUCUUUUGGAAAGGACCAACCCUUGCAAUUUUUGUCUUACCAUUACCAUGGUCAUUUUUGUAAAUCUGGUAACUUUAACUUAGACAAAGGUGAAGCAAUUUGCUAUAGUAGGAUGGACAGUGGUUCCAAGGAUAGCUACAGUUCACGUGUUUCCUCAUCUACUGCUAUGUUCCAAUAUAAUAAAACAUGCUUCAUUGAGUUUCAUAAAUAUUAGCAAAAUAUCACAGGACAACCAGAAAAACCUUCCUCAUACUGUGGGGGCCUGAUAGAGAGGAAGUCAGGUGUGCGGUGUCAGGGAUUGGGGGUCCAUCUUCGGGUUUAAAGGAUCACUAUAGGGUCAGGAAUGCUAACAUGUAUUCCUGACCCUAUAGUGCUAAACUCAACAUAGGAAAAGCAUUGGAUUGGCUAAAAUCUGCACGAGGCGGGGCUAAAUUAUGUUAUGGCCAAUCAGGAUCUCCUCAUAGAGAUGCAUUGAAUCAAUGUAUCUAUAUGAGGUAAAUUCAGUGUCUCCAUGCAGAGCUUUUUCGGCAGCCCAGAACCAGGAAGCCCCUCCAGUGGCCAUCUAAGGAGUGUCUCUCAAUGUAAACACUGCCUUUUCUCUGAAUGCCUGAAGGGAGCUAUUAUACUCACCAGAACAAGUACAUUAAGCUGUAUGUGUUCUGGUGACUAUAGUGUCCCUUUAAACCACUGGAAAUCAGUUUAACUAGAGUUAAGACUACGCAGAGACACCCCUACCACUAUAACAACGUCAAUGAGCUAAGUUGUAUUGGGUGGUAAUGUUACUUCAAGACCUUAAUGUGUAUAUGAAGUGUCAGGUGCAAAGGACAGGGCUUGUAACAAUGAAUGACGGGAAUCUAAGAUGGAGGCUCCCAGGUGUGGAUUUACACACUUAAUGUUUUAUUUCCACACCUCACAUGUGCAUACAUUUGUUAAAUAUAAGGGAUAAGUAAACUUAAUAUUAACAAAAACUGGGAAACUUCAUUUUAAGCUAUUUUAUCCCACCAGUUAAAAUUUGUUAGUGGUAAAACACCCAUAAAAAUAGGUGUAAAAUAAUUCUAAUCUAAUCUCUGCUACGGAAAUAACCUCUAAGGACCUGGGUAUUGACACCGUUUGGAGUGAGACUGGUAAUGGGUAAACUGACUGAAGAAGAUCCUUUAAUGAAUCUACGGUAAUAGUUUGAGAAUCCUAUAAAUCUUUGCUUUCAAACUCUUGGACAUUGGCCAGUGCAAGACAGCCUCUAAUUUGUUUGGAUCCAUUCAAAACCAUAAGCCAAUAUAAUAUAACCUAAGAAUUGUAGUUUUGAUUGACGGAACAAACAUUUCUUCAUUCUGGAACAGAGUGUUCAGUACUUGUCUCACAUGUGCCUGGUCAAUGGACAGGUCAAGUGUAUAAAUAAGUAUACUGUCUAAAUACACAAGAACAAAUUAAUCUAUGUAUUCCCUUAAUACAUCAUUAAUAAAGUCUCAACUUAUACUACACUCUCCAUUAUUCUUACUCAGGAGCGCUCAGAGCACAGAACUGCAACCUGUCAGAUCAGGGAGAGGGAACAGGAGGGCUGGGGGUGGUCUUGGAGGUUGAAAAUGAAGAUUGAACAAUGAGGGCGGAACGUGUUGUUCAUGUAAAGAUGGCAGUUUUAGGUUAAAUAUGUAAGUAUGCACAAGGAAGAGGCACACAGAGGGCUGGGGGGUUUGAUGAGAGGCACACAGAGGGCGGGGGGGUGAGGAGAGGCACACAGAGGGCUGGGGUGAGGAGAGAGGCAACACAGAGGCUGGGGUGAGGAGAGGCACACAGAGGGCUGGGGGGGUGAGGAGAGGCACACAGAGGGCUGGAGGGGUGAGGAGAGGCACACAGAGGGCUGGAGGGGUGAGGAGAGGCACACAGAGGGCUGGAGGGGUGAGGAGAGGCACACAGAGGGCUGGGGGGGUGAGGAGAGGCACACAGAGGGCUGGGCAGGUGAGGAGAGGCACACAGAGGGCUGGGCAGGUGAGGAGAGGCACACAGAGGGCUGGGCAGGUGAGGAGAGGCACACAGAGGGCUGGGUGAUGAGGAGAGGCAAGCGGAGGGUUGGGAGAUGCACAAAGAGGGCUGGGGGUAAGGAAAGGCUCACAGAUGGCUGGGGGUCGGGAGAUGCACAAAGAGGGCUGGGGGUAAGGAAAGGCUCACAGAUGGCUGGGGGUCAGGAGAGGCUCACCGAGGGCUGGGGGUCAGGAGAGGGUCACCGAGGGCUGGGCACACAGAGGACUGAGGGGUGAGUAGAGGCACACAGAGGGCUGGGGGGUGAGGAGAGGCACACAGAGGGCUGGUGGUUGAGGAGAGGCAAGUGGAGGGUUGGGAAGAUGCACAAAGAGGGCUGGGGGUAAGGAAAGGCUCACAGAUGGCUGGGGGGUGAGGAGAGGCUCAUCGAGGGCUGGGAGUAAGAGGAGGCUCACCAAGGGCUGGGAGUAAGGAGAGACUCCACCAGGGCUGGGG
RNAcentral lists this long non-coding RNA (7674 nucleotides) under Pelobates cultripes (western spadefoot toad). The record is from RNAcentral. Lineage: Eukaryota; Metazoa; Chordata; Amphibia; Anura; Pelobatidae.